CAGAGACUGCAAGCGUUAGUUCGGAUUCACUGGGCGUAAAGGGUGCGCAGGCGGUUGGGUGUGUCAGAUGUGAAAUCCCGAGGCUCAACCUCGGAACUGCGUCUGAAACUACUCGACUAGAGUACUGGAGAGGGUAACGGAAUUCACGGUGUAGCAGUGAAAUGCGUAGAUAUCGUGAGGAACACCAGAGGCGAAGGCGGUUACCUGGACAGUUACUGACGCUCAGGCACGAAAGCAUGGGGAGCAAAAGGGAUUAGAUACCCCUGUAGUCCAUGCCCUAAACGGUGCACACUAGGUCUUAGCGGAUUCGACCCCACUAGGGCCCAAGCUAACGCGUUAAGUGUGCCGCCUGAGGACUACGGUCGCAAGACUA
Molecule: ribosomal RNA, 373 nt
Filed under: uncultured organism
Description: bacterial SSU rRNA
Rfam family: Bacterial small subunit ribosomal RNA
Source: RNAcentral